AUUGAACGCUGGCGGCAUGCCUUACACAUGCAAGUCGAACGGUAACAGGUUAAGCUGACGAGUGGCGAACGGGUGAGUAAUGUAUCGGAACGUGCCCAGUCGUGGGGGAUAACUGCUCGAAAGAGCAGCUAAUACCGCAUACGACCUGAGGGUGAAAGCGGGGGAUCGCAAGACCUCGCGCGAUUGGAGCGGCCGAUAUCAGAUUAGGUAGUUGGUGAGGUAAAGGCUCACCAAGCCGACGAUCUGUAGCUGGUCUGAGAGGACGACCAGCCACACUGGGACUGAGACACGGCCCAGACUCCUACGGGACGCAGCAGUGGGGAAUUUUGGACAAUGGGCGCAAGCCUGAUCCAGCCAUGCCGCGUGCGGGAAGAAGGCCUUCGGGUUGUAAACCGCUUUUGUCAGGGAAGAAAAGGUUCUGGCUAAUACCUGGGACUCAUGACGGUACCUGAAGAAUAAGCACCGGCUAACUACGUG
This 477-nucleotide ribosomal RNA is filed under the name uncultured bacterium. RNAcentral describes it as "partial 16S ribosomal RNA". It matches the Rfam family "Bacterial small subunit ribosomal RNA", at positions 30 to 507 of the family's 1533-position model. The record is from RNAcentral.